This is a non-coding RNA of Ceratotherium simum simum (southern white rhinoceros), 497 nucleotides long. The record is from RefSeq and is a predicted model, not a curated record. NCBI's taxonomy places the organism in Eukaryota, Metazoa, Chordata, Mammalia, Perissodactyla, Rhinocerotidae.
CUUGCAAGAUUAAUCAUGAAAAUCUUAUUUAGAAGAGCCCCUUUAUCUGGAAUAUGUUUGCCCCAGUAUCUUCAUGGCUUGCUCGCUACCAGAAUGAUUUUAGGCAUUUUCCCUAUGUCUGGGGUCCACCAGUUUUAAAUCUACAGCCCCUCACUAAAUUCUGCACCUUUCCUUUUACAUAAAAUUAUGUAGGUAUAACCCAGGCUGCAACUUCACCCUUCACCAGCAGAAACUCCUCUCUAGUGAAUGAUGUACUCCAGAAUGAAAAUUCCUCAAGUGAAAUGCAUGAGAUUAGGUAUACUUGAGGGCAAAUAACAAGGAACAUAUAAGCUGGUCUCAGGAGACAUUUUGGAUCACCUGGUAAAGACUUCACCUCAGCAGAUUACAACCGUCUUCUGAAGUCUUGGAGAUAGUCCCCAAGGAACUUGUCAGGACCACAGCAAGGUGGUGUCCUUAGAGUGAGUUAGGAGGAGGCUUGCAAUUUUACUGCCAGCCUG